This 296-nucleotide RNase P RNA is filed under the name Candidatus Thorarchaeota archaeon. RNAcentral's name for it is "RNase P RNA component". It matches the Rfam family "Archaeal RNase P". From Rfam's summary of the family: Ribonuclease P (RNase P) is a ubiquitous endoribonuclease, found in archaea, bacteria and eukarya as well as chloroplasts and mitochondria. Its best characterised activity is the generation of mature 5'-ends of tRNAs by cleaving the 5'-leader elements of precursor-tRNAs. Lineage: Archaea; Promethearchaeati; Candidatus Thorarchaeota. The record is from RNAcentral.
GGCUGGUAGCCAACUGUCGCGCUUUGCGUGAGGAAAGUCCGCCCACCAUAAAAGGCUGCUUCGUUUUGAAGUUCCAGAAAUGGAAGGCAACCGUCCAGAAACGACACGGCCUCUCUGGAGCUAUGAUGCUGCGAAGCUUCCGGCAACGGAAGUGAGAUAACCAGCUGAGUAUUCCUUAGAGGAUGCGUUGAAACGCGUGAGCCCCAGCCGGUGCAAGCCAUUAAGGCGCUUAGUUGAAUGUUGGCAUGACCUGUUCGCUUAUGGCGAGGUCUUACAGAAGGCGGCUUAUUCCAGUC